UUUGCCAUGCAGAAGCUCUGCAAUUUCAUGCAAUCCCAUUUGUCCAACCUUUCUUUGAUUUCUUGUGCUUCUGGGCCUCUAUUAAGAGAAUUUCGGCCUGUGCCAAGAGACCUAGGGUUUGUGGUAUUCUGUCCU
This is a long non-coding RNA of Dipodomys spectabilis (banner-tailed kangaroo rat), 135 nucleotides long. RefSeq lists it as uncharacterized. The transcript is spliced from 3 exons. Lineage: Eukaryota; Metazoa; Chordata; Mammalia; Rodentia; Heteromyidae. The record is from RefSeq and is a predicted model, not a curated record.